AAAUAAAAGUGAAAUUUUUAUGGCACUUUUAAAACAAUCCAUAUCCACCUUGUGUGCAAUGUUUUUUGAAAAAGAAGUUUCUUCAUGGAGCUUUUUUUUUCUUCUAACUAUUAUAAACUCAUUUUUAUAAAGAAAUCUAGUCUGAUAAUUAUUAUUAUUGAAUACUUAAUUCAUAAAUA
RNAcentral lists this unclassified non-coding RNA (179 nucleotides) under uncultured Mucoromycotina. RNAcentral's name for it is "sequence contains ITS1". Lineage: Eukaryota; Fungi. The record is from RNAcentral.